UGUGGAGUCGCAGAGACAACCAGGAGGUUGGCUUAGAAGCAGCCACCCUUGAAAGAGUGCGUAAUAGCUCACUGGUCAAGUGGUUCUGCGCCGACAAUGUAGCGGGGCUCAAGCGUACCGCCGAAGCUGUGGCAUUCAUGCGUCAACUAGGCCUUCGUGGUCCAGGUGCGUGGAUGGGUAGGGGAGCGUCGCGUGGCGAGUGAAGCGGCGGGGUGACCCAGUCGUGGACGCCACGCGAGUGAGAAUGCAGGCAUGAGUAGCGAAAGACGGGUGAGAAACCCGUCCGCCGGAUGACCAAGGGUUCCUGGGCUAGGCUAAUCCGCCCAGGGUAAGUCGGGACCUAAGGCGAGGCCGACAGGCGUAGUCGAUGGACAACGGGUUGAUAUUCCCGUACCCGCUACGACACGCCCAUGUCCAGGCCGGUGAUGCUAAGCGACGGA
RNAcentral lists this ribosomal RNA (440 nucleotides) under mine drainage metagenome. Its description in RNAcentral is "bacterial LSU rRNA". It matches the Rfam family "Bacterial large subunit ribosomal RNA", at positions 1074 to 1493 of the family's 2925-position model. The record is from RNAcentral.